Molecule: unclassified non-coding RNA, 597 nt
Filed under: Hevea brasiliensis (rubber tree)
Lineage: Eukaryota; Viridiplantae; Streptophyta; Magnoliopsida; Malpighiales; Euphorbiaceae
Source: RNAcentral
GAAACUUGCUACUAUAUCGUGAUCUGUACACAAACAUCAUCAGUCAUCCAAAUAUCAAAAAUCCAAAAGUACACUGAUAAGCUCUACAUGUUCACAUCAUCAAGGUCAAUCCUCUAUGACUAGGUACAAAAUGUUGUGAAAUGAACAAGUGAGAAUUGCAGACUUCGAGGAAACAUACAUAUAAAAAUAUGAUGCUCAUGAAUGAAAUGAAACUAGAUAAAUGUAGCCAAAAUUGAAUAGCAUUGCUUUGCCAUGAUUGCAGUAGCACGAAAGGGAUAAUUUCAUUUGCUCUUACCUCAGAUUAUGUCAACUAAAUCUUUGAUGUAUAGGAAUCAUUAAUGGCAAUUGAUAUACAUAUAAUACAUAAGAAAAUUAUAGAUACCAAUAACAAUGGUGUUGGUAAGGUUAGCACAAAGGUAAGACUUCCAGUCACAUGUUUGAGUGGUAGACACAUCCUCUUUGCAAAAAAAGUAGGGGGAAGGCCGUGUACAAUAGACAAUCCUCCCUAAACCUUACACAGCAAGGAGCCUCGUGCUUUACGGAUGCCCUUUUAUAGAUACCAAUCAUCUCCAGUGUCGACACCAUAUUUUGGUCGAU